This 263-nucleotide ribosomal RNA is filed under the name uncultured Anaerolineaceae bacterium. RNAcentral describes it as "partial 16S ribosomal RNA". It matches the Rfam family "Bacterial small subunit ribosomal RNA", at positions 1105 to 1378 of the family's 1533-position model. The record is from RNAcentral. Lineage: Bacteria; Bacillati; Chloroflexota; Anaerolineae; Anaerolineales; Anaerolineaceae.
UCGCUGUGUGUUACAAGUGUCACACGGUACUGCCGAUAUUAAGUCGGAGGAAGUGGGGAUGACGUCAAGUCAGCAUGACCUUUAUAUCCAGGGCUACACACACGCUACAAUGGCCAGUACAAUGGGUUGCCAAGCCGCGAGGCGGAGCCAAUCCUAAAAAGCUGGCCUCAGUUCAGAUUGCAGUCUGCAACUCGACUGCAUGAAGUUGGAGUUGCUAGUAACCGCAGGUCAGCAAUACUGCGGUGAAUACGUUCCCGGGGAUU